UUUAUAUGAGAGUUUGAUCCUGGCUCAGGAUGAACGCUGGCGGCGUGCCUAAUACAUGCAAGUCGAACGAGUUCUCGUUGG
RNAcentral lists this ribosomal RNA (81 nucleotides) under Lacticaseibacillus paracasei subsp. paracasei Lpp43. Its description in RNAcentral is "Lactobacillus paracasei subsp. paracasei Lpp43 partial 16S ribosomal RNA". It matches the Rfam family "Bacterial small subunit ribosomal RNA", at positions 1 to 83 of the family's 1533-position model. Lineage: Bacteria; Bacillati; Bacillota; Bacilli; Lactobacillales; Lactobacillaceae. The record is from RNAcentral.